This is a non-coding RNA of Toxotes jaculatrix (banded archerfish), 2874 nucleotides long. Lineage: Eukaryota; Metazoa; Chordata; Actinopteri; Toxotidae. The record is from the annotation of a RefSeq genome assembly.
UACAAACACUGCUUUCAGACAACGCUGAAGGACAGGGAUUAUACAGAAUGAAACAUACAGUUAUCUGGGGUUUAUAUUUUGUACUGUGUAUUCAUGGAGUCCGGAGUGAGAUCAAACUGGACCAGUCUUCCUCUGAGGUGAAGAGACCUGGAGAGACAGUGAAGAUGUCAUGUAUCAUAUCUGGUUAUAGCAUGACAAGCCACUAUAUGCACUGGGUACGACAGAGGCCAGGGAAAGCCCUGGAGUGGAUUGGGAGGAUGAACACAGGCUCAAACUCUGCUAGCUAUGGCAGCUCCUUCCAAAGCCGUUUCACCAUGACUGAAGUUGUAUCCAGCAGCACUCAGUACCUCCAGGUCAAUUCUCUGACAGCAGAAGAUUCUGCUGUUUACUUCUGUGCUCGUCAGGGGUAUAGCUGGCAUUAUUUUGACUACUGGGGCAGUGGGACUCAAGUCACAGUACAUUCAGGAACAAUCACUGCACCGAGUGUGUUCCCUUUGAUUCAGUGCCAACCCGAAUCUACAAACACAAUCACUGUUGGUUGUCUUGCACGUGACUUCUCCCCAAAUGGUGUCACUUUCAAGUGGACCAGUGCCAGUGGGCCUGCCCAGACUUCAGAACAAUAUUCUUCAGCUGGCCCAAACAACAACCACACAUAUACAGGAGUCAGUGUGCUCCAAGUAUCAAAAGCUGACUGGGAUUCAAGGAAGUCUUUUCACUGUUCAGUAACUCAUAACGGAUCUUCCCAAAUUGUGCAAAUACAAAGGCCAAUUAGUACAAAAAUGACUUUGCUAUCGGUGCCAAGUGAAGACUCCCAGGCCCUGGUCUGUACAAUUGAGGACAGGUACAAGGGAACACUUGAAUCAUUUAAAUGGAAAAAGAAUAAUGCACCUUUGAAUGACUUCAUUCAGAGUCCCAUCGUGCAAAGUGGAACGUUAAAUUCAGCUGUCAGUGUCCUGAAGGUCAAGAACAGAGACUGGGACAGUAAAGCUGUUUACACCUGUGAGGCAACUUACAUGGGAUCAACGCUUACAAAAAAGGCCUCAAAAGCUCCUAUCACAGUGACACUGAACCAACCAAGUCCCAAAAGAAUUUUCAGCAACAAUCAAGCAGAGCUGAGCUGUGUCAUCACUGGACAAGACAAGACCACUGUAGAUCAAACUCAAAUCAAAUGGCAAGUUAAAGGACCAAGUGUGACCAGCAAUGUUACAGAAAUGAGGAGUGACCUCAGCAAGACCAGCAAGCUAACUCUUAGUUACGCUGAGUGGCAGAAAGUCAAUAAAGUGAGCUGCUCUGCCCGUACAGGAGAAAUGACACCAGUGAUUCAAGAGCUGACAGUUCACAGAGGAGAUGGAAGAAAACCAAAUGUGACAGUCCACAUCCUCCCAGAGCAGGACAUCAACCAAGGAGACGCUGCUGAGGUCACUCUGGUGUGUCUGGUCUCCGGUCCUGUGUUACAGGAUUACUACAUCGCCUGGUCAGAACUUCAUGGACAAAACUCCAGCAACUUUGCUGAUGGCAUCAACUUCAGCCCACAGAAGACCCAAUACGGUUACUCAGUGACAAGUGUUUACACCACCACCAAGGAAAAGUGGGAGCAGAAAGACAACAUAUUCUACUGUAAUGUCUGGCCUGCUGGCAGCAAUGCACCUAUGGAGCCAAAGAGAGUGUCUACGGCCAUGGCUCCUAUCACAGUGACACUGAACCAACCAAGUCCCAAAAUAAUUUUCAGCAACAAUCAAGCAGAGCUGAGCUGUGUCAUCACUGGACAAGACAAGACCACUGUAGAUCAAACUCAAAUCAAAUGGCAAGUUAAAGGACCAAGUGUGACCAGCAAUGUUACAGAAAUGAGGAGUGACCUCAGCAAGACCAGCAAGCUAACUCUUAGUUACGCUGAGUGGCAGAAAGUCAAUAAAGUGAGCUGCUCUGCCCGUACAGGAGAAAUGACACCAGUGAUUCAAGAGCUGACAGUUCACAGAGGAGAUGGAAGAAAACCAAAAGUGACAGUCCACAUCCUCCCAGAGCAGGACAUCAACCAAGGUGCUGAGGUCACUCUGGUGUGUCUGGUCUCCGGUCCUGUGCUACAGGAUUACUACAUCGCCUGGUCAGAACUUCAUGGACAAAACUCCAGCAACUUUGCUGAUGGCAUCAACUUCCGCCCAGAGAAGACCCAACAUGGUUACUCAGUGACAAGUGUUUACACCACCACCAAGGAAAAGUGGGAGCAGAAAGACAACAUGUUCGUCUGCAAUGUCCGGCCUGCUGGCAGCAAUGGGUCCAUGAAAUCAAAUGCCGUAUCUACAGCCAUGGAUUUUCCCUCAGAGUCACAACUGAGUUUUGCUCUGAGCUGCAUAGAAGAUGCCACUGAAGAGGAUGAGUUCAGCAGUCUGUGGUCCACAACGUCCUCCUUCAUAUUUCUCUUCAUAACCUCACUCUUCUAUAACAUGAUAUUCAGCCUGGUGAAGAUGAAGAGACAAUAGAGGAUGAGAUGGAUACACGGCGCAGACAACUCCAUCUUUUUACCUUUCCAUGUAGCUUGAAACUCACGUAUAUGAGCAAUAACUAAAUGCAUAUUUGCUAAAUUAAAUGGUUGCCAUUAAUAAUGAUUAACUAAGCCACUGAAAAUGGAUUUCUCUGUCAGCUGUAGAGAAACUAAAAGACAAACAAAUUGUCUUUUGUAAAACAAAUUGUACUGUAGCAGAAACAGAUUUUUUUUCUGUACAUGGCUUUGCAUUUCAUAGUUUGACAAAAUAAAUCUUUGCUUUUCAUGUUUGGUUAUUUUAUUGACACUAUUUGCUUUCAUAAGUAAGUCAAAAGAUAUGAUACAUAUAUGAUACUACAAUAUUUAAGGACAACCACAUAAACAUUUAAGUGAGC